GGAUGUGAGGGCAAUCUGGCUGCAACAUCUGUCACCCCACUGAUCACCAGGGUUGAUUCGGCUGAUCUGGCUGGCUAGGUGGGUGUCCCCUUCCUCCCUCACUGCUCCAUGUGCAUCCCUCCUGAAGCUGUGCACUCGGUCAAAGAGGACGAACUUCCCCGAUAGAGGAGGACCGUUCUUCGGUCAAGGGUAUACGAGUAGCUGUGCUCGCCUGCUGGAACCUCCAAACACGCUCCUCAGGUCCAUUUGUAGGAGAACGUAGGGUAGUCAAGCGUCCAAGACUCCAGACGCAUCCAAAUGAGGCGCUGCACGUGGCAUCUGCCUUU
Molecule: unclassified non-coding RNA, 326 nt
Organism: Ursus americanus (American black bear)
Lineage: Eukaryota; Metazoa; Chordata; Mammalia; Carnivora; Ursidae
Gene: 7SK
Rfam family: 7SK RNA
About the family: 7SK was discovered as an abundant small nuclear RNA in the mid-70s but a possible function has only recently been suggested. Two independent studies have found that 7SK RNA binds the CDK9/cyclin T complex (known as elongation factor P-TEFb).
Source: Ensembl